Molecule: ribosomal RNA, 253 nt
Filed under: uncultured bacterium
Lineage: Bacteria
Description: partial 16S ribosomal RNA
Rfam family: Bacterial small subunit ribosomal RNA
Source: RNAcentral
UACGAAGGGGGCUAGCGUUGCUCGGAAUCACUGGGCGUAAAGCGCACGUAGGCGGGUCUUUAAGUCAGGGGUGAAAUCCUGGAGCUCAACUCCAGAACUGCCUUUGAUACUGAGGAUCUCGAGUCCGGGAGAGGUGAGUGGAACUGCGAGUGUAGAGGUGAAAUUCGUAGAUAUUCGCAAGAACACCAGUGGCGAAGGCGGCUCACUGGCCCGAUACUGACGCUGAGGCACGAAAGCGUGGGGAGCAAACAGG